UUGUUGGUUGUUGAAAAUAAAGCAGUGUGUGUGUGUGCGAGGACAGAAAAUAAGAUGAUGCUCUUUCCUGAUGUGUUUGUUCUUCUUGUCUUCUUGAUGCUGCUGUUGGUGUUGGUGUUUCAGUUGCUCAAGGAAAUUUAGUGAAAGGCGACAUCCAAGGAAACUGCCAACAGUACCCUUUGGUUUGAAGGUGUUGCAGACAGAGAUUGGAACAAGUGAAGGAAGGAUCUGUUAUGUUAUGUUGAAGUGUCAAUGCACAAUUUUUUGUUAUCACUGUUAGCGGUCCCUAUGCUAUACAAAGCUGAAACUGACAGAGAACCACAAAAAAAGAAUGAAGAAAAGCUAAGCCGAAUGACUUACCCAAACUUGUACUGAUAGACUCUGCCGCGCUGCCUGCAAUUGUACCCCUUUUAAGAGUCAAAGCUAUAUAUGAAGGCCCAAAGGAACCAUGGUGAAUGAAAAUUGGGUUUCCGAGCCCUUUACAGUUGUGGGUUAAUGUUAUAACAUUGCAAAAGCCUGGUAAUAACAAGCUAUUUGCCUGUUUAACAUUCCAUCCUUGUUGAGGUCCAAAUACGUAGUAGUUUGAAUUUUGAAAACAAUUUAUGGAA
Molecule: long non-coding RNA, 608 nt
Organism: Gossypium arboreum
Lineage: Eukaryota; Viridiplantae; Streptophyta; Magnoliopsida; Malvales; Malvaceae
Exons: 2
Source: RefSeq, a predicted model, not a curated record